GAUUUUAUAUUUGAAAUUCAGGUUUUUAAAUGCUUGACUGACUGUAAGGUUGAUAUUGUUGAUUACAGUCUCACAGCACAUACAACUGCCAGUAACUUCCCAUUGUGUGUUUAAAACAAAACUUGAAAUCAAAUUUAGGAGAAAAUAAUCUGUAUGCACUUGGAAUCUAAAACUGACUUACUAUGUCUGAAUAGUAUUUUUAUAUCACUGUGGUGGUGUUUUGGUACCUUCCUGUUUCGGAUUAGGAUUCUGAUUCUGAUUGAAAAAUUGGCCAUCUGUAUGUUACGCUUCAACUAGCUCCUUUGUGCAGUAAUCUCUCAUAACAACCGGAUUGAUAUAUUACAUUUUAAAAUAUUGUAGUACCUUUUUAUUAGGCUUGACAUCUUAAUGAUAUCUAUUUGAGUGUCUCUCUGUUGAGAAAACAUUUGAAACAUUAUGAAGAUUCUAGAAGACAGUUGUAUAGAUUUGAUAAACUUAGAAGUUUUAAAUAUCAUUUUUGUACCUUUAAACUAUGCUAUAUUGUCUUACUGACUUUCAGUUAUUAGAUUUUGCUGUCCUUGGAAAGUAAUUUGAAACCUCAGUGGUGUAACUUUGAAAAUGUUACAUACAGAUUUACUUAUAGACUGUAGAACAGAAAUCCAUACUGUUCAUUUUAGCAAGACUUUAAGUUUUAGGAUUAAAUAAUUUGAGUUUUUCAGCUUUUGCCUUGAGUCUUUAUGGCUUGCUUGAAUAAACCAGAGGUAUAGAGAAACUGGUCCAUGAUUGGAGGAAGCUGUUUUGGUCAGUCAGAUGGAAGAAGUGAUGAGGACUGUUCAUUGAUUUGCUUUCUAUAUAAUAUUUGUUUUAUAGAAGAUACUUCUUAGACAUUAGUGACUUUUUUCUUACCAGACAUCUCGAUAAAGGCCUGGUCAAAAAUGCUUCUCGUAAAGUGAUAACAAGGGAAUACUGUGAAAACUUGAUCUUAAUUAUGAGGAAACUCUUCUCCAUGAAAUAUAUAUAUAUUUUUAUCUUUUCUGUUUCUCUUCUAUCUUCAUCCAGCUGUGGAAUGCUAGGGAAGAACAUUCUUGGGGAAGUUCUUGUGCUAAUUAUAGAUCACAUUAUUAGUUUCCUUAAAAGUUAAAAAUUUUUUUUUAGUCAUACAUGGGCACAAUAUCUUUAUUUUGUUUACUUUUAUGUGGUGCUGAGAAUCGAACCCAAUUCAGGAGCUCAAUUCAACUAUAAGAAAAUGAUAAGGAGAAGGAAAUACUAAUUACUCUGAUUUCAUAAGUACAUGCUACGUGCAAGUGUUGAAAUAUCCCACUGAACCCCAUUAAUUUGUAUAAUUAAUAUAUGUUAAUAUAAAAUUUUUAGAGUGUGAGGUACAAUAAGGACAUUUUCAAGUAAACGGAAAUAUCACAGGACUGUACUUCAGGCAGGAGAAUUAGCUAAAUAUUCAAACAUCAUGAGCACAGACUAGUAGAUAGGUGAGUAAAUCUAAACAAAUCACUGUCCAAAAUAAUAAUAAUAAUUGUC
Molecule: long non-coding RNA, 1512 nt
Filed under: Marmota monax (woodchuck)
Lineage: Eukaryota; Metazoa; Chordata; Mammalia; Rodentia; Sciuridae
Source: RNAcentral